RNAcentral lists this small RNA (280 nucleotides) under uncultured Paracoccus sp. Its description in RNAcentral is "5' ureB small RNA". It matches the Rfam family "5' ureB small RNA". The record is from RNAcentral. Lineage: Bacteria; Pseudomonadati; Pseudomonadota; Alphaproteobacteria; Rhodobacterales; Paracoccaceae.
CGACCUGUUGCGGACAGAUAUAAUGGAUGUGGCAGUCGAAACCGCCGGGCGUCACGAUCUUGCCCUCGCCCGCGAUGAUCUCGGUUCCGGGUCCGAUGAUGAUGGUCACGCCGGGCUGGGUGUCGGGGUUGCCCGCCUUGCCGAUGGCGGCGAUGCGGCCGUCCUUCAGCCCGACAUCGGCCUUGACGAUACCCUGAUGGUCGAAGACCACGACGCCGGUGAUGACGGUAUCGACCGCGCCGCCCGCGCGGGUGAUCUGGCUUUGCCCCAUGCCGUCGCG